UAGCUUGCUACUUUACCUAGCGGCGGACGGGUGAGUAAUGCUUAGGAAUCUGCCUAUUAGUGGGGGACAACAUCUCGAAAGGGAUGCUAAUACCGCAUACGUCCUACGGGAGAAAGCAGGGGACCUUCGGGCCUUGCGCUAAUAGAUGAGCCUAAGUCGGAUUAGCUAGUUGGUGGGGUAAAGGCCUACCAAGGCGACGAUCUGUAGCGGGUCUGAGAGGAUGAUCCGCCACACUGGGACUGAGACACGGCCCAGACUCCUACGGGAGGCAGCAGUGGGGAAUAUUGGACAAUGGGGGGAACCCUGAUCCAGCCAUGCCGCGUGUGUGAAGAAGGCCUUUUGGUUGUAAAGCACUUUAAGCGAGGAGGAGGCUACCGAGAUUAAUACUCUUGGAUAGUGGACGUUACUCGCAGAAUAAGCACCGGCUAACUCUGUGCCAGCAGCCGCGGUAAUACAGAGGGUGCAAGCGUUAAUCGGAUUUACUGGGCGUAAAGCGCGCGUAGGUGGCCAAUUAAGUCAAAUGUGAAAUCCCCGAGCUUAACUUGGGAAUUGCAUUCGAUACUGGUUGGCUAGAGUAUGGGAGAGGAUGGUAGAAUUCCAGGUGUAGCGGUGAAAUGCGUAGAGAUCUGGAGGAAUACCGAUGGCGAAGGCAGCCAUCUGGCCUAAUACUGACACUGAGGUGCGAAAGCAUGGGGAGCAAACAGGAUUAGAUACCCUGGUAGUCCAUGCCGUAAACGAUGUCUACUA
RNAcentral lists this ribosomal RNA (747 nucleotides) under Acinetobacter sp. Its description in RNAcentral is "bacterial SSU rRNA". It matches the Rfam family "Bacterial small subunit ribosomal RNA", at positions 76 to 818 of the family's 1533-position model. Lineage: Bacteria; Pseudomonadati; Pseudomonadota; Gammaproteobacteria; Moraxellales; Moraxellaceae. The record is from RNAcentral.